CGCAUCUGUGCAUGCAGCAUAUCAAUAAGCGGAGGAAAAGAAACUAACAAGGAUUCCCCUAGUAACGGCGAGUGAAGCGGGAAGAGCUCAAAUUUGAAAUCUUAAAGGGUUUCCCUUUACGAAUUGUAGUUUAAAGAAGUGUUUUCUGUUGAGGUUUUGGUAAAAGUUCUUUGGAAUAGGACAUCAUAGAGGGUGAGAAUCCCGUAUUUGACCUUUACUUUCAACUUUGUGAUACACUUUCAAAGAGUCGGAUUGUUUGGGAAUGCAGUCCAAAAUGGGUGGUAAAUUUCAUCUAAAGCUAAAUAUUGGCGAGAGACCGAUAGCGAACAAGUACCGUGAGGGAAAGAUGAAAAGAACUUUGAAAAGAGAGUUAAACAGUACGUGAAAUUGUCAAAAGGGAAGCGUUUGACACCAGUGUUGUUUUUCUGAAAAUCAAUUAAAGAACUGUUUAUGCUAAGCUUGUUUAGACUUUAUCAGCUAACUGUUUAGUUUUGAGCUUUUCUUUAAUGCACUUUUCAGUUAACAAGUCUACAUCAAUUUCUUUUGCUGUAAAAAAGCUUGAGGAAGGUGGCUUGAGAUUCGUCUUAAGUGUUUAUAGCCUCUUGCCUAUGCAGUCGGAGAGAUUGAGGUCUGCAGCGUAGAUCCUUCGGGGCUAAAUGCGUUUGUGCUAAGUUAUAGCAUUUUAUAGACAACUUGUUGACUAUGAUUUGUCUUGUAGCUUACUCGCUUAUGUUAUUUUACCUACGCUUAGGAUGUUGAGCGCAUGUCUCUCUCU
This 775-nucleotide ribosomal RNA is filed under the name uncultured Neocallimastigales. Its description in RNAcentral is "partial large subunit ribosomal RNA". It matches the Rfam family "Eukaryotic large subunit ribosomal RNA", at positions 26 to 616 of the family's 3401-position model. Lineage: Eukaryota; Fungi; Neocallimastigomycota; Neocallimastigomycetes; Neocallimastigales. The record is from RNAcentral.